GAUGAACGCUGGCGGCGUGCCUAAUACAUGCAAAUCGAGCGAACGGACGAGAAGCUUGCUUCUCUGAUGUUAGCGGCGGACGGGUGAGUAACACGUGGAUAACCUACCUAUAAGACUGGGAUAACUUCGGGAAACCGUAGCUAAUACCGGAUAAUAUUUUGAACCGCAUGGUUCAAAAGUGAAAGACGGUCUUGCUGUCACUUAUAGAUGGAUCCGCGCUGCAUUAGCUAGUUGGUAAGGUAACGGCUUACCAAGGCAACGAUGCAUAGCCGACCUGAGAGGGUGAUCGGCCACACUGGAACUGAGACACGGUCCAGACUCCUACGGGAGGCAGCAGUAGGGAAUCUUCCGCAAUGGGCGAAAGCCUGACGGAGCAACGCCGCGUGAGUGAUGAAGGUCUUCGGAUCGUAAAACUCUGUUAUUAGGGAAGAACGUAUGUGUAAGUAACUGUGCACAUCUUGACGGUACCUAAUCAGAAAGCCACGGCUAACUACGUG
This 497-nucleotide ribosomal RNA is filed under the name uncultured bacterium. Its description in RNAcentral is "partial 16S ribosomal RNA". It matches the Rfam family "Bacterial small subunit ribosomal RNA", at positions 28 to 507 of the family's 1533-position model. The record is from RNAcentral.